AACGAACGCUGGCGGCAUGCCUAACACAUGCAAGUCGAACGAGACCUUCGGGUCUAGUGGCGCACGGGUGCGUAACGCGUGGGAACCUGCCUUUAGGUUCGGAAUAACUCAGAGAAAUUUGAGCUAAUACCGGAUGAUGUCUUCGGACCAAAGAUUUAUCGCCUUUAGAUGGGCCCACGUUGGAUUAGCUAGUUGGUGGGGUAAAGGCCUACCAAGGCGACGAUCCAUAGCUGGUCUGAGAGGAUGAUCAGCCACACUGGGACUGGGACACGGCCCAGACUCCUACGGGAGGCAGCAGUGGGGAAUAUUGGACAAUGGGCGAAAGCCUGAUCCAGCAAUGCCGCGUGAGUGAUGAAGGCCUUAGGGUUGUAAAGCUCUUUUACCCGAGAUGAUAAUGACAGUAUCGGGAGAAUAAGCUCCGGCUAACUCCGUG
This 433-nucleotide ribosomal RNA is filed under the name uncultured bacterium. RNAcentral describes it as "partial 16S ribosomal RNA". It matches the Rfam family "Bacterial small subunit ribosomal RNA", at positions 29 to 507 of the family's 1533-position model. The record is from RNAcentral.